Molecule: transfer RNA, 76 nt
Filed under: Sandaracinus sp.
Lineage: Bacteria; Pseudomonadati; Myxococcota; Polyangiales; Sandaracinaceae
Description: tRNA-Ala
Rfam family: tRNA
About the family: Transfer RNA (tRNA) molecules are approximately 80 nucleotides in length. Their secondary structure includes four short double-helical elements and three loops (D, anti-codon, and T loops). Further hydrogen bonds mediate the characteristic L-shaped molecular structure. tRNAs have two regions of fundamental functional importance: the anti-codon, which is responsible for specific mRNA codon recognition, and the 3' end, to which the tRNAs corresponding amino acid is attached (by aminoacyl-tRNA synthetases). tRNAs cope with the degeneracy of the genetic code in two manners: having more than one tRNA (with a specific anti-codon) for a particular amino acid; and 'wobble' base-pairing, i.e. permitting non-standard base-pairing at the 3rd anti-codon position.
Source: RNAcentral
GGGGCUGUAGCUCAGUUGGGAGAGCAUCGGCUUUGCAAGCCGAGGGUCACCGGUUCGAACCCGGUCAGCUCCACCC